CUAUUUGUUAUUUAUUAAAUAUCAGCAGUGGAAACCGACAUUAUCCUUCCCAGGAGACUUGAAAUCUAAAUUUAAAAAGGCAGACAUGACACAAAUAUAGCCACUCCAUUGGAAAUCUGGGUGGAGUGAUCUAUUUCUUCUUGCUUAGAAGAAUUACUCACAGACAUGAUGAUGGUGUUCUCCAGUAGACUAAUCAUAGCAAAUAUGAGGAAGAAGGACUUUGGGAACUCUAAAUAUAAAGUAUCGGGACUGGAAGUCACCUUUGAACACAGAACACAGAAUACUUGCUUGAUUUUUCUCCAGUUGGAAAUUAUUUUUCUUUCUUUGGAUAUCGCAUUGGAUUUUGCACCUUUUAAGUACUUCAUGUCGCAGUAUAGUAAAAUAUUGAUUCGGUAUGAUAAUAUCACAGCCCCUCCUGCUGACAUGCAUCUUGGUAUAGUGGAUAAAGC
This 449-nucleotide long non-coding RNA is filed under the name Monodelphis domestica (gray short-tailed opossum). RNAcentral's name for it is "lncRNA (ENSMODG00000030770.2)". The record is from RNAcentral. Lineage: Eukaryota; Metazoa; Chordata; Mammalia; Didelphimorphia; Didelphidae.